Molecule: small nuclear RNA, 271 nt
Filed under: Marmota monax (woodchuck)
Lineage: Eukaryota; Metazoa; Chordata; Mammalia; Rodentia; Sciuridae
Description: 7SK RNA
Rfam family: 7SK RNA
About the family: 7SK was discovered as an abundant small nuclear RNA in the mid-70s but a possible function has only recently been suggested. Two independent studies have found that 7SK RNA binds the CDK9/cyclin T complex (known as elongation factor P-TEFb).
Source: Rfam by way of RNAcentral
GAAUGUGAGGGCAAUCUGGCUGCAACAUCCAUCACCCUAUUGGUUUCCAGGGUUGAUUCAGCUGAUCUGACUGGAUAGGCAGGUAUCCCCUUCCUCCCUCACUGCUUCUUGUUUCUCCUUACCAAAGCUGAGUCCUUGGUCAAAGAGAAUGACCUUCCCUGAUAGAGGAGGAGCAUUCUUCAGUCAAGGAUAUACGAGUAGCUGCACUGCCCUCCAAACAAGCUCAUUAAAAGGUACAAAAAUAAUGCAACUAGUUUCACUGCAUUUCAAU